This 497-nucleotide ribosomal RNA is filed under the name uncultured bacterium. RNAcentral describes it as "partial 16S ribosomal RNA". It matches the Rfam family "Bacterial small subunit ribosomal RNA", at positions 28 to 507 of the family's 1533-position model. The record is from RNAcentral.
GAUGAACGCUGGCGGCGUGCCUAAUACAUGCAAGUCGAGCGAACAGACGAGGAGCUUGCUCCUCUGACGUUAGCGGCGGACGGGUGAGUAACACGUGGAUAACCUACCUAUAAGACUGGGAUAACUUCGGGAAACCGGAGCUAAUACCGGAUAAUAUAUUGAACCGCAUGGUUCAAUAGUGAAAGACGGUUUUGCUGUCACUUAUAGAUGGAUCCGCGCCGCAUUAACUAGUUGGUAAGGUAACGGCUUACCAAGGCAACGAUGCGUAGCCGACCUGAGAGGGUGAUCGGCCACACUGGAACUGAGACACGGUCCAGACUCCUACGGGAGGCAGCAGUAGGGAAUCUUCCGCAAUGGGCGAAAGCCUGACGGAGCAACGCCGCGUGAAUGAUGAAGGUCUUCGGAUCGUAAAACUCUGUUAUUAGGGAAGAACAAAUGUGUAAGUAACUAUGCACGUCUUGACGGUACCUAAUCGGAAAGCCACGGCUAACUACGUG